Molecule: ribosomal RNA, 733 nt
Filed under: uncultured eukaryote
Lineage: Eukaryota
Description: bacterial SSU rRNA
Rfam family: Eukaryotic small subunit ribosomal RNA
Source: RNAcentral
UGGCCAUGUUGGUUAACAGAUCCUCAUCUGCUGGACGUCUGGCGAUGAUCUUUAUCGGUUGUCGUCAGUUGCCAGCACGUUUACUUUGAGAAAAUUAGAGUGCUAAAAGCAGGCUCACGCCUAUAUAUAUUGCAUGGAAUAAUGAAAUAAGAUCUCGAUUUUAUUUCGUUGGUUUUAGAAAUUGAGAUAAUGAUUAAUAGGAUCAGAGGGGGGCGUACGUACUGUGGUGUGAGAGGUGAAAUUCUUGGAUCGCCACAGGACGAACAGCAGCGAAGGCGUUCGCCAAGAAUGUUUUCAUUAAUCAAGAACGAAAGUUUGAGGUUCGAAGACGAUUAGAUACCGUCCUAGUUCAAACCAUAAACGUUGCCAACUGUCUUUUAGAUGCGGUUAUUUAUAUGACUCAUCUGGCGGAUCUCGAGAAAUCUAAGUUUUUAGGUUCCGGGGGAAGUAUGGUUGCAAAGCUGAAACUUAAAAGAAUUGACGGAAGGACACACAAGAAGUGGAGCCUGUGGCCUAAUUUGACUCAACACGGGAAACCUUACUCGGCCAGGACACUUUUAGGAUUGACAGAUUGAGAGCUCUUUCUUGAUUAGGUGGGUGGUGGUGCAUGGUCGUUCGUAGUUCGUGGAUUGAUUUGUCUGGUUUAUUCCGAUAACGAGCGAGACUUUGACUAUUAAAUAGUGCAGUUGUUUGUUUUUGCAUGCAAUUGAACACUUCUUAAAGGAAUUUGGGG